Molecule: regulatory RNA element, 47 nt
Organism: Lasius niger
Lineage: Eukaryota; Metazoa; Arthropoda; Insecta; Hymenoptera; Formicidae
Rfam family: Histone 3' UTR stem-loop
About the family: The mRNAs of metazoan histone genes lack a poly-A tail. 3' end processing occurs at a site between a highly conserved stem-loop (modelled by this family) and a purine rich region around 20 nts downstream (the histone downstream element, or HDE).
Source: Rfam
CAAUCGGCCCUUUUCAGGGCCACACAAUUGAAACCAAAAAUAAAGAU